UUUCUUAAGAUUGGGAAAGGCAGUUAUAGAAGUCUUGUAGAUGGCAUAAGUCGUUCUUAUUACAGUAAACUGGUAUAAUUGCUGAAGCUUUUCCAUCCACUGUUUUAUUACAUACAGCACUGUAUUACAUGCGAAUACUAUAAUUUCAAAAGUAGUUAUGAAGUUAGAUAUGAAAUGUAUAUGACGUAGAAUCUUAUUUGCGUCUUACAGGAUCUGGACACUUCAGAUUGAAGCUGAGUCCCAAGAAAAGAAUUAAGGGGUGAAGUUUUUUUUUGCUUUUUGGAGCCUGCAGUUUCGGCCAAAGAUUUGUUCUUCAAAUAAUGUGGUCUAUCUUAUGUCUGGUGAAGAAACAGCUAAUAAGCCUGUCCUAGACUGAGUGCAUUGAAUGAGUCAUUUAGUAAGCAAAAACAGGCAAGUAAAUCUGAUAUGUUGUCAUAGGUAGGGGUUAACCACCAGCUGUAUUUGCCAGAAGUAAAAAUGCUGCAGCCCCACCCUCAGCCCACUCCACACAUAACUGUUCUGACAAAACAAACAGCAAUAUGCUUUGUAA
Molecule: long non-coding RNA, 550 nt
Organism: Oxyura jamaicensis (ruddy duck)
Lineage: Eukaryota; Metazoa; Chordata; Aves; Anseriformes; Anatidae
Exons: 3
Source: RefSeq, a predicted model, not a curated record